UGCGAUGAGUCGAGUAACACACUAUGUGUGAAAGAAAACGGCCAGCAUGUUUCACCCACCGGAUUUGCGGGCGCUGGUUUUCCCUCUGGAUUGUGGAGUCC
Molecule: non-coding RNA, 101 nt
Filed under: Lacticaseibacillus thailandensis DSM 22698 = JCM 13996
Lineage: Bacteria; Bacillati; Bacillota; Bacilli; Lactobacillales; Lactobacillaceae
Description: Lactobacillus thailandensis DSM 22698 = JCM 13996 Enterococcus sRNA 68 (Lacto-3 RNA)
Rfam family: Enterococcus sRNA 68 (Lacto-3 RNA)
About the family: Name 'Ref' stands for RNA in E. faecalis.
Source: Rfam by way of RNAcentral